GAUGAACGCUGGCGGCGUGCCUAAUACAUGCAAGUCGAGCGAACGGACGAGAAGCUUGCUUCUCUGAUGUUAGCGGCGGACGGGUGAGUAACACGUGGAUAACCUACCUAUAAGACUGGGAUAACUUCGGGAAACCGGAGCUAAUACCGGAUAAUAUUUUGAACCGCAUGGUUCAAAAGUGAAAGACGGUCUUGCUGUCACUUAUAGAUGGAUCCGCGCUGCAUUAGCUAGUUGGUAAGGUAACGGCUUACCAAGGCAACGAUGCAUAGCCGACCUGAGAGGGUGAUAGGCCACACGGGAAGUGAGACACGGUCCAGACUCCUACGGGAGGCAGCAGUAGGGAAUCUUACGCAAUGGGCGAAAGCCUGACGGAGCAACGCCGCGUGAGUGAUGAAGGUCUUCGGAUCGUAAAACUCUGUUAUUAGGGAAGAACAUAUGUGUAAGUAACUGUGCACAUCUUGACGGUACCUAAUCAGAAAGCCACGGCUAACUACGUG
This 497-nucleotide ribosomal RNA is filed under the name uncultured bacterium. RNAcentral's name for it is "partial 16S ribosomal RNA". It matches the Rfam family "Bacterial small subunit ribosomal RNA", at positions 28 to 507 of the family's 1533-position model. The record is from RNAcentral.